AUGGUGUUCUACUUCAAGGCGCGGCCGGACGCCGGCGACUACACCAUCUACAUGGGCGCCGACAAGAACGAGAACGAGGAGCUCAUCAAGUUCCAUGUGGACAAGGUGUCCUCGGCGCACGUCUACCUGAGGCUCAAGAAAGGCGAGUCCAUAGACACCAUCAGCGAAGGCCUCCUGGAGGAUUGUGCGCAGCUCGUAAAAGCGCAUUCCAUUCAAGGAAACAAGAUGAACAAUGUGGAGGUGGUCUACACGCCAUGGUCUAACCUCAAGAAGGCGACGUCCAUGGAUGUCGGCCAAGUUGGCUUCCACAACCAUCGGAUGGUACACGUCUUGACAGUGGAGAAGCGUGUCAAUGAGAUCCUCAACAGGUUGAAUAAGACCAGGGUCGAGCGCCGACCAGACCUCAAAGCCGAGAAAGAUGCAUCAAAUGCAGCGGAGAAGGCCGAGCGGAAGAUGCAGCUGAAAGACAAGAAGCGCAGGGAGGAGAUGGAGAGGGUGGUGAAGGAGCGGCAGGCCGAGAUACGGAGCUACAAGGGCCUCAUGGUUGCCGAGAAGAUGACCUCCAACCGCCAGAUCGCCUCCGCCGGCAAGUCCAUACAGGAAAUGGAGGACGAGUUCGUCUAG
RNAcentral lists this ribosomal RNA (624 nucleotides) under Triticum aestivum (bread wheat). RNAcentral's name for it is "partial small subunit ribosomal RNA". The record is from RNAcentral. Lineage: Eukaryota; Viridiplantae; Streptophyta; Magnoliopsida; Poales; Poaceae.